This 296-nucleotide ribosomal RNA is filed under the name Clostridioides difficile. Its description in RNAcentral is "partial 23S ribosomal RNA". It matches the Rfam family "Bacterial large subunit ribosomal RNA", at positions 1071 to 1375 of the family's 2925-position model. The record is from RNAcentral. Lineage: Bacteria; Bacillati; Bacillota; Clostridia; Peptostreptococcales; Peptostreptococcaceae.
GGAUGCGGGAUUGCACAGACAACCAGGAUGUUGGCUUAGAAGCAGCCACUCAUUCAAAGAGUGCGUAAUAGCUCACUGGUCGAGUGAUCCUGCGCCGAAGAUUUCCGGGGCUAAAACUUACUACCGAAGCUACGGCAUCAGUAAUGAUGGGUAGGGGAGCGUCCCAUACGGGUUGAAGCAUGACCGUAAGGACAUGUGGACAGUAUGGGAGUGAGAAUGUUGGCAUGAGUAGCGAGAUGUGGGUGAGAAUCCAACAGGCCGUAAACCUAGGUUUCCAGGGGAAGGUUCGUCCGCCC